GACACGACCAGAAUGCAACAGUCUCUGUGACCAGGAUAAAUUGUGAUGGGAAUUUCCUGAAUAAAAUUAUGAAAUGCAGCUCCAGUGCGACACAUGGCCUUCGGGGUCCCUGGUGGCUCCUCCAACAUGGCGUACAUUGUCCUGUGUGGCGGAGGCGUCACUGCCGCAGUCGUCUAUGCCUACAAGACGGUCGGCGGCAACGGUGAGCGCCAUGAGGACCGACUCGCCACCAUGGCCGUCAUAGAAAAGGCACCGGAAGUUGCCGCUCCUGCAGCUGAACCCGCCGCAUUGGAGGAGGCAGCGCCGACCCCCGAGGUCCUGGCUGAGGUUGUUGAGGAGUCUGGCCCUGCUCCUGCCGAACCAGUAGCCGAGGCUGCUGCUGAACCCGACGUGCUUGCAGAGUCCAUCCCUGCAGAACCAGUAGCAGAGACCGCUCCCGAACCUGCCGUCGAGGCGGUGUCUGAAGAAGAAGCUGCAGCCGAGGUGGUCGUUGCAGAGCCGGCACCGACAGAAGAAGCCGCUCCAGCUGCCGUGGAAGAUGAGUCUGCUGCCACCGUGGAGGUUGCUGCCACCGAGGAGACGCCGGCAGAGGCCCCUGCAGCAGAAGCCCACUUGGCAGAAAGUGCUGGUAUGGCAGUAGUAGAUGGAGUCCCCCCUGCUCCCGCCGCUGAAGCAGAGAGCGGCUCUGCAGCCCCCGAGGCUGAGGCCGCACCUGCUGCAGUGGUGGCUGCAUGAAGCUGUGAUGGUGCCAUAGAUUCCCAGGAAGUAGGCCUCACUUAGUUGUGCUGUAGGCCCAAGAAAAAGGACUCCUGAAACCCUAUUUUGAUGAAAGUGAAAUGAUGAAAGUGGGUGAUUCACUUCUGGGGGUUUUUCCAGUCCAUUUUUUGGGCCCAACCUUCACACCCAGAUCCACAACAUUUAGCAUUAAGCAGUCUGUUCAAAUUCAGUUUCUAUAGGAAUUCUAUAAAUGGUGUAAAGCCACAUUCCAUUCUGGUGCUGUACAGUUGAAGAGCUGGUGACACAAGGGAUGGAAGUAAGUUGACCGUUUUUGUUCGUUGUGCCUUUUUAAAAACGUGGCCGCCUCUAUCUUUGCCUUUUUAUGUCAGCGCGGUGAACGAAUGUCGUUAGCCCAGUUUGAUAAGUUGUUUGGCACUUGCACUUGUUUGCUGCUCAGCAAAUGCUUACGCCCAGCAGUGCCAUUAAUCAUUGCUUUGCUUCAGCAAGAAGCGAGAGAUGGAACACAAAAUUGUUUGACCAAAAACCAGUUGGCUCUUACUGUCUGCAGUUCUUGACUUGUUUUUUUUUUUUCUCCACAUUGGAAUUCACCAGCCAUGUGGAAGACCUUUAUUGUGUAAAUCUUACUGCUGCUUUCUCUAAUCUCACUCAACUCUAUAGGCAUUAUAUUCUAUCAUAAUGCAGUUUUCAAAGAAUAAAAAAAAUCACUGGAUGUGACUCAAUAUUGCAUUUGUACUCUAUGAAUGUGGUCGUCUGUUUGCGUAAAUCUGAAAAGUGUAGGUUGUAAAAAUAAUUGGUUUGAUUUGACAAACAGUUUAAAUCUAGAUUCCUUUACCUGCCUGUGGCUUUGAUGGUAGAACAUAAUAUGCAAAUGAUAUUGUAUGUGUAGAAACACUUUUUUGUUGUUGUUUGGAAAUGUUAAAUUUCUUGUCCACGUUUAUGCUCCUUUCCGC
Molecule: long non-coding RNA, 1688 nt
Organism: Gasterosteus aculeatus aculeatus (three-spined stickleback)
Lineage: Eukaryota; Metazoa; Chordata; Actinopteri; Perciformes; Gasterosteidae
Source: Ensembl